RNAcentral lists this ribosomal RNA (829 nucleotides) under uncultured bacterium. RNAcentral's name for it is "bacterial SSU rRNA". It matches the Rfam family "Bacterial small subunit ribosomal RNA", at positions 71 to 916 of the family's 1533-position model. The record is from RNAcentral.
AGACAGUAGCAAUAUUGUCUUAGUGGCGAACCGGUGAGUAACGCGUUGGUGACCUGCCCCGAAGAGAGGGAUAACAGUUCGAAAGGAUUGCUAAUACCUCAUGUGGUCAUUUGGUUUAGAUGCUUAUGACUAAACGGAUUUAUUCGCUUCGGGAGGGGCCUGCGUCCCAUCAGCUAGUUGGUAAGGUAAUGGCCUACCAAGGCGAUGACGGGUAGGGGACCUGAGAGGGUGGCCCCCCACAAUGGAACUGAAACACGGUCCAUACACCUACGGGUGGCAGCAGUAGGGAAUAUUGGUUAAUGUGGGAAACCGCGAACCAGCAACGCCGCGUGCGCGAUGAAGGCCUUCGGGUUGUAAAGCGCUUUUAGAGAGGAUGAGGAAGGACAGUACUCUCUGAAUAAGCCUCGGCUAACUACGUGCCAGCAGCCGCGGUAAAACGUAGGAGGCGAGCGUUAUCCGGAUUUACUGGGCGUAAAGCGCGUGUAGGCGGUCUGAUAAGUUGGAUGUGAAAGCUCCUGGCUUAACUGGGAGAGGUCGUUCAAAACUGUUAGACUUGAGAGUGGUAGAGGGAGGUGGAAUUCCGGGUGUAGUGGUGAAAUGCGUAGAUAUCCGGAGGAACACCAGUGGCGAAAGCGGCCUCCUGGACCAUUUCUGACGCUCAGACGCGAAAGCUAAGGUAGCAAACGGGAUUAGAGACCCCGGUAGUCUUAGCUGUAAACGAUGUGAACUAGGUGUCGGUGGGUUCAAAUCCAUCGGUACCGAAGCUAACGCGAUAAGUUCACCGCCUGGGGACUACGGCCGCAAGGUUAAAACUCAAAGGAAUUGACGG